UUUUUUUGUAUUAUAUAACUUAAAUCCAAUUUUGGAUCUAAACAUAAUGAUUUUAAGUUUUUUAACAACAAUUUUCAAUUUGUGAUCUAAUAGCAGGUUUGGAUGGAGCUUGUGUUCUGGAAGACACAGUUUUGAUGCUUUUAAUAUCCUGCUGUUGUUAAAUAGAAUUUGAAUGGGUGAAAAAUGAAAUGUGGACAAAAACAUAUUGGAUUCUCAAAACACGAAAUAUAGAUAUUGGUACAUAAAAUUUGAAAUUAAGGCAGAUUCUGGAAAACUGACUCCUAACAGUAAAUCAAAAGGGAUUUCUUGUUGCUAUUUGGAAAGCAUUUUCAUAAAAUUAGAAUGAAGAAUACAGCAAAUUUAACCACUAGGAAAACACUUUCUUCACUUGCCUUCCAUGACAUUCUACUCUCUUGAUUUUCUCUUCUCCUUCUCCUUUGCUGGGUCCUCCUUUUCUUUCCAUCUCUUCAUGCAGGACUCCUCCAGGGUUCAGUCCUUGAUCUUCUUUUUUCAGUUUUCUAUCUACACUCAUUCUAAUGGUUUGAAAUACUACCUAUGUGCCAAUUACUUCCAAAGUUUGAUCUUUAGCCCACACCUCUCUGUCCUGCUGCAGAAUCAUACAUCCCAACUGACUAGUUGACACCACCAAUCAGAUCACUAAAAAGUAUCUCAAACUUAACAUUUCCAAAACUGAAAUCUUGAUCUUACCUCUCAGAUUUGUUCCAUCUGAACUUUCCCGCAUUUCACCUGAUGGUAACUCCAUCCUUUGAAUCACUCAGGUCGAAAGUCUUGGAGUCAUCCUUGACUCUUUCAUGUCCUCCCUUCAGUUCCAUCAGUAACUUUACCUUCCAGAGGAAUCACUUCUCAACCACCUACACAAGACUUACCCUGGUUCAGGCCACUAUCAUUUCUUCCCUUCUUCCACACACCCUGCCCCUGCAUAGGCUCUUCUCAAAAGAAGAUUCUGAAUGACGCUUUUACUUUAUUUUUAUUUAUUUUUUUGAGAGGGUCUCACCCUCUCACCCAGGCUCCGUCUCAAAAAGAUGAAUGUCUCUUCAUCUUCUUUUAUCCUGUUCUAUUUUUUUUCCAUACCAUGUCUUACUCUGUAGCUCACCAUAAUUUAUUUGUAUGCUCAUUUUAGGUUUCCCUCAAGUAAAACGUAAACUAAUCCAGGCACGGUUUUUGUUGUUGUUCCAUUAUUUUGAGGGCUGGGCACAUAGAUGCGCAAGGAGUGCCCAAACUCAUCAUCUCACUCUUUAUACAGCUGGGCAAACUGCCUAAAGUUUCCUCAAGCCUCAGCUUUACUAUUUUCUUGAAU
Molecule: long non-coding RNA, 1318 nt
Filed under: Homo sapiens (human)
Lineage: Eukaryota; Metazoa; Chordata; Mammalia; Primates; Hominidae
Description: novel transcript
Source: RNAcentral